UACAGAGGUCCCAAGCGUUGUUCGGAUUCACUGGGCGUAAAGGGUGCGUAGGCGGCUUUGUAAGUCAGUGGUGAAAUACUCCAGCUUAACUGGAGGGGUGCCAUUGAUACUGCGGAGCUUGAGUACAGAUGAGGUAGGCGGAAUUGACGGUGUAGCGGUGAAAUGCAUAGAUAUCGUCAAGAACACCGAUAGCGAAGGCAGCUUACUGGGCUGUAACUGACGCUGAUGCACGAAAGUGUGGGGAUCAAACAGG
Molecule: ribosomal RNA, 253 nt
Filed under: uncultured bacterium
Lineage: Bacteria
Description: partial 16S ribosomal RNA
Rfam family: Bacterial small subunit ribosomal RNA
Source: RNAcentral